Non-coding RNA from Podarcis lilfordi (Lilford's wall lizard), 72 nucleotides. The record is from the annotation of a GenBank genome assembly. Lineage: Eukaryota; Metazoa; Chordata; Lepidosauria; Squamata; Lacertidae.
GGCAGCGUGGCCUAAUGGGUAGAGUGUUGGACUAGGACCUGGGAGGCUGGGGUUCGAAUCCUCGCACAGCCA